GAAGCGCGGGGCGAAAAAUCAUCGUUCGAUUUACCGGUCAUCGUGUCUCCGGAACCGAAAGGGGAAAAAAAAUAAAAAAUUGUUGAAAAUAAGUGUGGAGUAGUGCGAUGGAUGGGAGCGCGAUGUCCUCGUCGCGCGGCUCCUUGGACCGGACACGUGAUGUUCGUCGGUUAUCGAAGCUCCGAAUGGAUCGCGGAUGAAAUAUGACGACGCGCGUGUUAACCGUAGUUGCAUGAUCGGAUCAACAGCGGCACGGUUCCCUCGGAGAUUAAGAUUGAACGAGCAAACCGUUUACGCCGGGAGCAUUGUCCUGUAAACCGUAGCCCGUAUUCGGAAGCGCAACGCAUUGUGGGAGACUGAUCCGAUUGUAGGAGGCUCGGGGAGAAUUUUUGCACGGGGAAGGCCGAGUAUUUUCGCAUUGAAAUGCCGAUGGUUGGCCGGAGGCGUCGAAUCGUCGGCUUUUCUCUCUGAGUCAAAGAACUCGCUGGUUAAAAGAAGUUGAUGAAGAAGCGACCAAGUGUGAUAAACCCAGGGAGAGGAAGACAGCGAAGGGAAAGGACCAGCGUGCAGGGAGACCGAUAGAAGGUCUUCGUACAUCAAACACAUAAGCGAUGGAGAAGGACAGCGAACGUCACUACAGAGCUUACGAGAGCUUGAAAGCUGCCAACAAUGGCAACACUUCCUCGCUCAAGAGGGGAGUCGAUACGUCAAAGAGCAGCGUCAAUGCCGGCGUGUCCCAUCAUCAUCAUCAGCAGCAGCAACAGCAGAAUGGACAGAUCAGGUGUCUGUGCUUCGGCGGUGUACCCGACAAGGCCAGUCAUCACUCCUUCCUCAAGGGCUUCGUCAUCAAUCUCGGAAUUUGCUCUCUCCUCGUCGCGUACACCCUCCUCGGCAGUUUCAUCUUCCUGGCCAUCGAGGGUGGCGCCGAUCACCUCCAACAGAGGACACUCGCAACUACCGUUGCUGGCGGCAACUCGAGGAGAAAUACCACCGCUUGGCUCAACAAGGUGAACCGCGACGCUCGCGAACAAACGGUCGAAAGCAUCUGGGAAAUCACGGAACACUUGAACAUUCUGUAUCGUGAGAAUUGGACGAGACUCGCCGAGCAGGAAAUCACCCGCUUUCAAGAUCGUCUCGUCAAGAAAAUAAUGGAGGACAUGCACGCUAAUUCACAAACUACGAGAACUUACACCGGCGAAAAAGGACGCAAGGAAAUCGACUCGGAGCCGAACGCCGAACGCAAUUCUCCCGAUUACGAGUGGAACUUUGCCAAAGCGUUUCUCUACUCGCUUACCGUCCUCACGACAAUCGGCUACGGGAGCAUAGCGCCACGUUCAACAUGGGGAAAAGUCGCGACGAUGGGCUACGCGGCACUCGGCAUUCCGUUGACCCUCGUUUAUCUCUCGAGUGCGGGAGGUCUGCUCUCCAGAUGCGCUCGGGGUGUUUUUACUCGAGCUCUUUGCUGCUGUCUGUGCUCGAAUUGCGGCUACUGCUGCUACGACGAGAGGCGAAUGCAGGAGAAGGAGAGACGGAUGAGGAAAAAACGCCAGCAGGAGGAAUUGAGCCAGCAGCAGCAACAGAUGCAACUGCAGGAGCCUUUCUACGUGCGAGCAAACGCCUCGACGUUUCCGGGCUCGGUCGACAUAAAGACGAGCCCAAAGGAUGAAAUAUCGAGCCUCGGCUCCGGUGACAGACCGAACGUCACGAUAUUAGCGCCAAUAAGCAUCUGCCUCGGGGCCAUGCUCUGCUACAUUGUUGCCGGAGCUUUUACCUUGUACAAAUUAGAGGGCUGGAGCUUCGUAGAUGCGAGCUAUUUCUGCUUCAUGAGCCUGAGUACCAUCGGUUUCGGUGACAUGGUUCCUGGUUCCUAUCCACGCUACGAUCUCGUCGAUUCAAGAAACAUAACGGUAUGGUUUUGCUCUUGCUACAUAAUGUCCGGGAUGGCAUUAACGGCGAUGUGUUUCAACAUACUCCACGACGAGAUCGUGCAUCGUCUCGCUCAUCAAACGGAGAAAAGUGAGUCCGUGAAGCCAAGCACGAGCGUCGACGAGCUGUCGAACGAUCCGUUCGCCUUGACGUCGUGACAAUUUCCAGGCAGCAACGCCUGUCAUCGCAACGUUACCGAGGAGAGCCUCUGCGGCGAACCGCCCGCGAGCAUAUUCGCCCACGAUAACGAGAUCAAUAUUCUAAAAGAUUCUUACAAUCAAGUCGACGUUACCAGAGACUGUAAGCCGAUAAUCAAACUCGAAGAUCACAUCGUUGGUCCCAUUUCGGCUGUCUACACCCUCCCCGAAGUCGACGAAGAAGCUGAAGACAACACCGAGAUGUAAACCCGCUCCUCGUUACGAGCAUAGCUUCAAAUUUUCCCCUGAAAGUCCCCACGAACGAGCAGAUCGAUCAAUUCUGAAAGAAAAGUCCUCACCCGCAUUGCUUCGGAUUGGCUGACCACUCUUUCAUUGAAAAUCAAAUAAAUGACAACUUCUCUCUUCGGGAUCAUCCGAUCCAGCGAUUCUCUGGACAUCGUGACUGCUCUCUUCGUCUCUAUUUCUCCGCUACGAAUUCCUCGCAUUUCUCUGACUCUCGUGGAUGUUCCCGUCGUCUUAUAAUCCCCGAGAUGAUGCUGUCGAACGUCGAAGUAUGGAAAUUCUCGGGCCCGAGCCAACUAUGCGCUCACGCGUAUUCCCACAUGAUACGUUCAAAUAUUUAUCACAUUUUUCACAUCCAUCAAAUAAUAAAUAUGAGAAAAUGUAUUAUUUUUGUAUGCAGUAGAAUUUGUGAUGAAUAUUGUUAAUUUGGGAAUCACGAGGAGCGAACAUUCAAACGAAUCAUUUUUGACAAAUACGCGCGUUUUUGGUUCAGUGAAAUGUUCGAGUUUUUAAACAUCGAGGAUUCUAUUUUUCUUGCUCAACAGUUUUUCCAAACGCUUUAAAAUAUAUUCUGCUCUCGGUGAAUGCUUCGGCGCAGCAUUUUUUCGCAUUCUUUUUUUGUGCCAGAGGAGACCGAAACGGAUUCGGAACAUUCAUGACUCAUACUUCCGCGGGUCCAGGCGCCCCGAGAGCUGUCGGAAUAUUUUUCCGAAGAGAGAAAACAACGCUCGUAAGCAAUCGGAAAACGGGGGAAAAAGUGAAAUAGAGAAAAAGAGGUAAUCGCGGCCCUUCAUUACUUGUAAAUUCGUGUAACUCGCUAUCUCACUUUUUGUAUCCUUUAAUUUUUUCUUCCGAAAUAUGAAAUAAUACUGAAUUCCGCAGUGCAGAGGAGAUUCGAGCGUGAAUGUUCGUGGCUCUCCUGUUGCGGGGGAAGAAACAAAACUGGAAGAGAAACGGAAUAUCUAUUCGUGCGAAAUUUCUACAAUCCUAAACACUCUUAGAUAGGAAUUAUCGACAACUUUCUUUUUUACGGUUUUAAUACGUACGUUAAUUAUAUAAAAGAUAAAUAUGUAUAAAUACACACAGAGAAAUGGACAGCUGCGUGGACAAGAAAUUGAGUAAUAACCGUGGACGUUUUCGCGUGAACUUUGUAACGAUGUGAAUGAUCAUUUGAAUCGUGCUGAGCCCACCUCGAGCAUGAAUCUACGAACGAACUUGUACAUUUAUUAUGUGAGAGCAUUUUUCUUAUCGUAUUUUUAACGAAAAUCCUAGUCGCAUACUGGAAUUCAAGGGUUAUCGAAAAAGCGUCUGACGUUGAAGAAUGCCGGACGCUGCCUCCACAGGAAAAGGAAGCAUAAAAGAGGUAAAAGAAGAGGAAAAAUGAAAUGGGAAAUAUGUGCAAAAUGCACGAUACGUUUCCUGCUGGCAGCGAUCGCCGAUGGGAUAAAAAUUCGUUUACCGAUCCUAUUUCUCACGAUCAAAAUGUCCACCGCGAGCUUCUUUUUCUCUUCUUACUGCACAAACGUGGUCAUUGAUAAUCCUGUGAAAAUUUAUCGUCCCGGUGAGCAGGCAGGAAUCGACGAUGCGUCGGAAUUUCGUCACUGCGUGGAAAUUGCGUUCAGGAAGCAGAAAUGAUUUUGGACUCUUCUGAAAAUUCGAUUGGUCGAACAUUUUUUAAAAUCUGAUCUCACUCAUUUUUCAUUUCAAUAUGAACUGUCAACUGCGGCAAUUGAAGGAUAAAACGAGUGCAAUUUUCCAGUUAAAUGAUGCUGAAAGCUGUUUCAAAAUUUUCAUUCCCAGCAAACGAAAGUCCACCGGAAUAACAUUCGUUCGUUAGGUCGAUGAAAUUAAUGGUAAUUUAGUUAUUUUUUUAUAGUAAAAAAUGGACAGGAUCGGUUGGCGGUACUGCUCGAAAAAUUCACUUCGAUGACGUUCGAUUAUCUGACUUCGUCCAAUCGCCAUAAAUUCAUGUGGAAAUCCUAAUAUCCGGAUUCAGACACAUUUCACGAUGGGAAUCGACCGAGAUCCGUGCUCAAGAACAAUAACUAAUUUAACCAUUUACGGUUAGGUAAAUAAUCCAUAAGAAUGUUGCGUUUAGAAGGACUAUCCAAAGAUGUUUAUAAAAUAUCGAUAUUUCAAUUGCCCUAAGCGAUAGUAUUUAAGAAGGAAGACGAAAGAAGUGAAGAAUAUAAAAAUAGGUAAUUAAAGUGGGGAUAAAAAACUGCUUAGAUUCUCACUUCGUGCGUUCCGAAGAAGGCCGAGUGUCUCUUAUUGCGUGGCUCAAGGACGAAAAGUAGAUAUAAAUUGAAGAUAUUCGCGGUUCCGAAUCCUACAUAAGCGAGCGUCGAUGAUUCUGGAAGUCUGAAACGAGACGAAGAGACGAAAUAAUGAGUUCGGAUGAAAAAAAACGCCGAUUAAGGUCCACCGCCUGUUUUGAUUUCUUGACAUAUCAUAAAAUAAGAGGACGAAGCGAAAUAACUUUAGUCAUCGCUGUUUUCGGGGCAAAAUUGCCGGAUAAGCCGGGAGCACGAUCCAAACAAGCGAACAUCGCGAAGUGCAGAUGUGUAAAUAAGAAAAAAGUACUUUCGGAUCGGGUGUUUGGCCAAUGUUGUGAAUGAAAGAAUAUUGUUAAAGAGAUAAGAAAAAAGUGUUCGAAAUUUUGGUACGAGGAUUGAAAAUGAGAUGGAAAAAUGUAAUUCGCUCGCGAGAGCAGGAGGGAAUCGGAAAAAUGGAAGAAAGAGGCAACGAACUUGUGGAUCAAAUUAAAAAAGGAGGAUGCAUGUGCUCGAGCUAAAUGGGAAAUGGAGUGGGGAGGGAUAAAGUUACGAAGAAAAUGGCAAAUUACUGACGCCCUCUUCAUCAGCGCAUUACGUAAGAAUAUCCACGUGCAAGCUCCAGCCCCCGCGCCUCUUUCUUCGAGUUUUCUCCCUCGCUCGAUGGAUAUAAAUAUAACGAAAAAGGAGCCCACGGACACACACGUGCAUACACAGGAAUCUUUCGCUCGCAGUUUGCUCGAGUUUUCUCCGGGCUUUUCUUCGAUGCUCUUUGUCUAUGCGAAGCGUUCGCUUUGCUAUCUCUCCGCUCCCGACUAUAUCUCGUAGCCUCGAGGGAAAUAUCACGAAUUCCCACGACCGGGGACAUUGUGGCGCGGAUGGAACUUUAGUCGGUAUUUUCAAGGUGGAACGGGCUGGAGGAUCAGGCAAAAAGAGGAGCGGAGAGAAAAAAGGUAAAAAGUUUGAAAAACCGAGGGCGAAAAAAAAACAAAAAAGCUCCAAUGGAAGUCCUAACACCGUGGGGACUUUUUUUCUGUCGCAAAAGACGACGAAAAUAACAUGCGCUCGCGCGGGACAAACAAUCGUCGGCCACUCACUCGUCUCGAUAAUUCUCGAGCCCAGUGAUCAAUGGAAAAUUAGCAUCCUUCCGAGUCCUCGCAUUCGUUCGUCAUCGUCUGCCCUGAAAAUUCUUUUCUCGAUUCGCUCCAAGGGGAAAAGGGAAAUCCACCCUCGCUCGAACCUUCUGAUGAUCGAUGCUUAAUAAUUCGCAAAGGAAAGUCACCGACCGAUUGCCCAAAAAGUAUCGAGCUGCUCGUCCAGGGGAAAGAGUUGCUUUGUGGACCAUUCGAUUUUUAGACGCUCUCAUUAACUCGUACGAUCCUUUUUUCGAACGAAACUCUCCAGUGUCUAAACAGACUCGAAUUUUCUCUUCAGCAUUAAAUCCUCGCCUGCGAUAAUGAGCUUCAAUUAUACACGAUUCUCUUCGUUUUAUCACAGCGAAGAUAAUGGUGUACGAUGGAGUAGCCUUCGCUCGAUAUUUUAUCGUGAAAAGUCUGUAAAGCCUGAAAAACUUUCGAUAAAAUAAAAAAUAAAAAACUCAAGAUUUUUGCCGAAAAAAAAAAAAAAACUAGUUUCCUUUCCCAGCAGCAAAAAGCUGUCCCGGAACAGCGAUUUUCCGGCAUCAGAGAUAAAAAUUAAUGAUCAUUCGAAUUUGAAGGAAAGUUUGGAAAGAACGAACGGUCCUGAUUCGCAGCUUCUCGAUACUCCGCUGAAAAAAGUCGACCCCGCAAAUAGUCUCCCAUUUUCGAAUCUUCGGAGAGCUCACGAGCAGCUUACGCAGAAGCACAAAAAAUAUCAUUCGAGACUACGAGGCGAAAAAAAACGAAAAUUUCACUUGUACAUAAAAGGAAAAUGCUCUUUGUACAAUAAAACAAAAAAACUAGAUUCUAAAAUUAAAAAAAAAAAGAAAACAAAAAAACAAAUCCACUGUCAAUACGUAUUCAAUAUCCGAUUCACACUUUUACCACGUACGUUGUAAAUAUUAGAUCGAGUAAGCUUUAUCAAUAUGAAAAUAAUCCGAUGUACGAGACGAAUUACGUAUAGAUGUAAGCGUCAUUGGUGAGAAAAAAAGCCGAAAAAAUUGAAACUUGAGUCUGCCUAGGAGAGAGGCUGAAAAAGUGUAUUAUUUUAAAUGAAAUCGCAGAACGCUUUGAUUCCUGGAGGAAAAAAAAAACGAGUUCAAAGUCCUCGCGUGAAAGGCAGUUUCGAGAAAGAGUGAAAAAAAAAAUAAUCGAACGAAAGAGCUGUGUGUUUUUAGCAAAGGGAAGAAAAGAAUAAAAACACAGCAAACAGCAGCAUUGGAGAGAGGCAAAAUCGAUAUAUUUUUCGUCUACUCGAUAACUGCGUUGUUUGUGUACGCGAAGAGCGUCCGGGGAGUCGUUUGGAUUGGAACACUUGCCAACGAUAUUCCAACAAAUAUUUUUCACCUCCGUUUUAUUCCCGUUGAAUUUAUUUGGCCUUUUUUAUCACGAGCUCGCUGAAAGACUUCAGAAAAUGACUGAACAAUCGCAGCCCCAAUUUCAUUCCUCGACGGAAAUGAAGGGGAUUCAAAAUAUUGUGUAAAUAAAUGUAUUCGGAUGUUGAGGAAAAACUUGGUUUCCACUGUACAAUAUUCGCGACAUUAUUGGUAAAUCAAUCUUAUUAUAAGGGAGAAAUUGAUCAAUGAUAGUUGAACUUUUGUGAAAAGUGGAGGGAAAUGGAGAGACACGCGUCGUCACGAAUAAAUUGUACGUCUGUAUAAUCAAUUGUCAAGCAAUGUAUCUUAUAAUACGAGAAAUAAAAAGUACUGUCGAAAUCUCA
RNAcentral lists this unclassified non-coding RNA (7498 nucleotides) under Venturia canescens. RNAcentral describes it as "tWiK family of potassium channels protein 7-like, transcript variant X4". The record is from RNAcentral. Lineage: Eukaryota; Metazoa; Arthropoda; Insecta; Hymenoptera; Ichneumonidae.